AUUGAACGCUGGCGGCAUGCUUUACACAUGCCAGUCGAACGGCAGCGCGGGCUUCGGCCUGGCGGCGAGUGGCGAACGGGUGAGUAAUGCAUCGGAACGUGCCCAGUAGUGGGGGAUAGCCCGGCGAAAGCCGGAUUAAUACCGCAUACGACCUGAGGGUGAAAGCGGGGGACCGAAAGGCCUCGCGCUAUUGGAGCGGCCGAUGUCGGAUUAGCUAGUUGGUGGGGUAAAGGCUUACCAAGGCGACGAUCCGUAGCUGGUCUGAGAGGACGACCAGCCACACUGGGACUGAGACACGGCCCAGACUCCUACGGGAGGCAGCAGUGGGGAAUUUUGGACAAUGGGGGCAACCCUGAUCCAGCCAUGCCACGUGCGGGAAGAAGGCCUUCGGGUUGUAAACCGCUUUUGUUCGGGAAGAAAUCCUCUGGGCUAAUACCCCGGGGGGAUGACGGUACCGGAAGAAUAAGCACCGGCUAACUACGUG
RNAcentral lists this ribosomal RNA (484 nucleotides) under uncultured bacterium. RNAcentral describes it as "partial 16S ribosomal RNA". It matches the Rfam family "Bacterial small subunit ribosomal RNA", at positions 28 to 507 of the family's 1533-position model. The record is from RNAcentral.